UGGCGGGGCAACGGCCCACCAAGCCGACGAUCAGUAGGGGUUCUGAGAGGAAGGUCCCCCACAUUGGAACUGAGACACGGUCCAAACUCCUACGGGAGGCAGCAGUGAGGAAUAUUGGUCAAUGGGCGAGAGCCUGAACCAGCCAAGUAGCGUGCAGGACGACGGCCCUAUGGGUUGUAAACUGCUUUUGCGCGGGGAUAAAGUGCGCCACGUGUGGCUCAUUGCAGGUACCGCGCGAAUAAGGACCGGCUAAUUCCGUGCCAGCAGCCGCGGUAAUACGGAAGGUCCAGGCGUUAUCCGGAUUCAUUGGGUUUAAAGGGAGCGCAGGCCGCCCCUUAAGCGUGUUGUGGAAUGCCGCGGCUCAACCGUGGCACUGCAGCGCGAACUGGGGGGCUUGAGUGCGCGCAGCGCAGGCGGAACUCGCGGUGUAGCGGUGAAAUGCUUAGAUAUCACGAAGAACUCCGAUCGCGAAGGCAGCCUGCGGGAGCGCAACUGACGCUGAGGCUCGAA
This 510-nucleotide ribosomal RNA is filed under the name uncultured bacterium. RNAcentral's name for it is "bacterial SSU rRNA". It matches the Rfam family "Bacterial small subunit ribosomal RNA", at positions 250 to 757 of the family's 1533-position model. The record is from RNAcentral.